Molecule: long non-coding RNA, 556 nt
Filed under: Homo sapiens (human)
Lineage: Eukaryota; Metazoa; Chordata; Mammalia; Primates; Hominidae
Description: HSALNT0362205
Source: RNAcentral
AAGUUACAGUGAGCUAUGACCAUGCCACUGGCAUGCCAGCUUGGGCAACAGAGCAAGACCCUGUCUCUAAAAAUUAACCAAGUAAAAGAUCAUGCGGGUAGCAGUGGGUGUGGUGAGAAGUAUCAGGCAAUUGAAGCACAGAGUGGUAAUCUAAGAUAGGAGAACACAGGUGGAACAGGUUUUGGUGAGAAGGAGGAGCACAGGUGGAACAGCUUUUGGGGAGACAAUCAGCAGUUUUAUUUGGGAUAUGUGAAGUUUUUGGUGUCUGGUAGACCUCCUGGUGGAGAAGCUGUGUAGCAGGGGCCCAUAUAAGCCUGGAGUUCAGGAGAAAGCCUGGGCUGGAGGUACACGUUGGGGAGUUGCUGACAGGCACAGCUAAAGAAAUGUGUUACUGACAAGCCUGCAGGCCACAUGGCGAGAUGGAAAGCAAGCAGUAAAGACCAAAGAAACUCGUUGAGGACAAUGGAAGAUGGGCUCAGAAGAAAAUGGAUACAGCUGAAGCUAGAUGGGUCAUGGGUGAAAGCAGGACAGGACCUCAUUCUCCAACAGAUACCAA